This 253-nucleotide ribosomal RNA is filed under the name uncultured bacterium. Its description in RNAcentral is "partial 16S ribosomal RNA". It matches the Rfam family "Bacterial small subunit ribosomal RNA", at positions 524 to 776 of the family's 1533-position model. The record is from RNAcentral.
UACGGAGGGGGCAAGCGUUGUUCGGAAUUAUUGGGCGUAAAGGGCGCGUAGGCGGCGAGGUAAGUCAGACGUGACAUCCCCCGGCUUAACCGGGGAACUGCUUCUGAUACUGGAUGGCUUGAGAUUGGGAGAGGGAUGCGGAAUUCCAGGUGUAGCGGUGAAAUGCGUAGAUAUGUGGAAGAACACCGGUGGCGAAAGCGAUUUUCUAGCUAUUACCUGACGCUGAGGCGCGAGAGCAAGGGGAGCAAACAGG